UACGUAGGGGGCGAGCGUUACCCGGAUUUACUGGGCGUAAAGCGCGUGUAGGCGGCUGGUCAAGCGUGGUGUGAAAUCUCCCGGCUCAACCGGGAAACUGCAUUGCGAACUGGCCUGGCUGGAGUGCAGGAGAGGGCAGUGGAAUCCCCGGUGUAGCGGUGAAAUGCGUAGAUAUCGGGGGGAACACCAGUGGCGAAGGCGGCUGCCUGGCCUGUAACUGACGCUGAGACGCGAAAGCGUGGGUAGCGAACCGG
RNAcentral lists this ribosomal RNA (254 nucleotides) under uncultured bacterium. RNAcentral describes it as "partial 16S ribosomal RNA". It matches the Rfam family "Bacterial small subunit ribosomal RNA", at positions 524 to 776 of the family's 1533-position model. The record is from RNAcentral.